Monomorium pharaonis (pharaoh ant) is the source of this 1994-nucleotide long non-coding RNA. RefSeq lists it as uncharacterized. Lineage: Eukaryota; Metazoa; Arthropoda; Insecta; Hymenoptera; Formicidae. The record is from RefSeq and is a predicted model, not a curated record. The transcript is spliced from 6 exons.
CGACGGCCACGACUCAGCUGUGAUUUUGUUUCGAAGUGUUUCUGCGCUAUAAAAUAUCAAUAUUGAACUACAUAGCUGAUGCUUGUGAAACCUGUAAGCAAUAUUUUGCAGUUUUCUUUCGUGCUCUAAUCAGCAGGAGCAGAGUGCCGUACAUUUCAAGAUUAUUCUACCUGAAUUAUUUACAUAUUGUUUACAUAUUGUUUAUACGAAUCUUCAUCAGACUGGACAACGUGAGCAAUGUAAAUUGUUAUCAAUUGGAAAACGCGAUACAUAAAGAAAUAAUUAAGUUACAGAAGUAUGUUAAUAUACUUGACUUUGGUAUUUCUAAAAUAAAAAAGUAAAAUAUACUUUUUACUACUUUUCUAAUAAAAUUUCAAUCUUCUGUGGAUUUAUUGUUUGCACAGAUGACAUGUAAAAUAUAGUCUAUGCAAUUUAUAUGCGUUUGUUUGCGUAAUGCAAAUUAUUUAUAUAUUUACAAGCAAAUACGCAACCAGAGAGAAACCUGAGAGCUGAUGUUCGGAGAUGGAAAGUAAUAUUACCUAUUUAUUUAGCACCUGAAAACAAUUAAAGAUUAUGCGACACAUUUGUUCGUGAAUGAAUUGAUUAACAUAGAACCAUGGAAAAAGUAUCCGUUAUCAUGGCAUCCACCGAUAUGUCAAUCACCAAAGUCGUUUAAUGAGCGAUAUAUUACACGUACAUUAUUAGAUGCAACUAUGCAGCAGCAUUCGUCAGAUACUUCACUAAAACCAUUUCUACAUAAUUUGGUUCAUACCACGGACUUGGCAGAAAUUGAUCAAAGAAUUUUAACGGCAAUUGAAACGGUCGCAGCUCCAUAGGUGUUGUCUAUGCUUGCAUCUUUACAUUGGAGAAUAAUGGGAAAACCUCGUUUAGCCUUAGAUUGUUUGCAGUUAACAUUGGAAAGUGUUCCUGAAGAAUUUAAAGAUGUACCUUUAGUUAGUAUAGCUUUGAUACACCAUAAAAUAGGUUUAAUUGACGAUGCUAUAAGAAUUACGGACAAAGCCUUACGAAUUAAUGCUGUGCAGGGAUAAAUUGUUGGAGUAGUCAUAAAAUUGGAUUAUUGGACAUAUCAUAUUACAAUAAAAAAGAACAAUCGCGCCAAGGUCUUACACAUUCAUUAUUACUUCCUAAUAGCGCAACUGAACUAGACGAGCCACAUGUGCAUAUGACUAGAAUUUCAGAUAACAUAAAUUACGACAUGUUACGUACAUACACUGACUCAUCCAAUAAGAUAUCUGACAAUCAAAAAGAGUCCUACUAUCCGAACAAAGAUGAAUGCGACGAGCUUAAAUAUAAAGACUGGGCCGCUUCUCUAUUUGUAUUUCACAAAUUUAUAUGACAAAACUUGAUGUAUGUAGUCGGGUGACUUCGACACUGCUGCAAGUUUCUAUAGAUCUUCGCUUUAACUUGACCCAAAUUUUGAGCCUGCUAUUACAAGGUUGCGAGUAAUACCAUGUUUUUUAUUAUUUGAUGAUGACAAAAAUUUACAAUGAGUGAGAUAUUGCGAAAUACUUUAUAAUACGACUUUUCACAAAUUGUUAAUGCGAAAUAAUUCGAUGAAAGUGCCUUUUUAUAUUGUUAAUACGCAAUAUUUAAAAAAUGUACGUAAGUAUUAAAAACAAGAAAGAAGCAAUUAUGUAGCAAUUACAUGAUACUACGUUAUUAUGUGUAUUACAAUAAAUUUAAAAUGAAGGGAAAAAAUAGUAAUGACACAUACUUAAUUGUUAAAUUAUUACAAAAUUUUAUGGAUAAGAUACUUAUAUUUUCACAUCAAAUUUGUAAGUUUAACAGAAUACAGAACAGAUGAAACAUAAGCUUUUUCUUGUUGUAAAAAUGAUACACUUUUAGAUGUAUUGUUUAUCUGUUAUUGUUUAUCCCAUAUGAAUGUGAUAACUUCUUGUUGUACUUGUGAUCAUGAAGCAAUAUAUUAUUAAAAUGUAAAAAGCAUUAAAUAAAAAAAUAAAUUUUGCAAUGAA